Ictalurus punctatus (channel catfish) is the source of this 347-nucleotide long non-coding RNA. The record is from Ensembl. NCBI's taxonomy places the organism in Eukaryota, Metazoa, Chordata, Actinopteri, Siluriformes, Ictaluridae.
GGGUUAGGGUUAGGGUCGGUUAGGGAUAGGGUUGGUUAGGGUUAGGGUCAGUUAGGGUUAGGGUCGGUUAGGGUUAGGGUUAGGGUCGGUUAGGGUUAGUGUCGGUUAGGGAUAGGGUCGGUUAGGGUUAGGGUCAGUUAGGGUUAGGGUCGGUUAGGGUUAGGGUUAGGUUAGGGUUAGGGAUAGGGUCAUUUAGGGUUGUUUAGGGUUAGGGUCGUUUAGGUUAGGGUUAGGGUCAGUUAGGGUUAGGGUCGGUUAGGGUUAGGGUUAGGGUCGGUUAGGGUUAGGGUCGGUUAGGGUUAGGAUUAGGGUCGGUUAGGGUUAGGGUCGUUUAGGGUAAGGGUUAG